GGCGUCUCAUGGAAGUGUUACGUUCGCGUGCUGGGUGCAUCGGAUGAGGUUCGCUGUCGCGGACUGCGAUGGAGGAGGGGAAGGGGAUGGGCGACAACUCCAGCUCUUGGUUAGCCGGAAAAAGGCCCCGCCGUUGAACUGCUGAACUACUACAGAGAACUGCGGUCGCUUUACUCUGGAGGACUGCUUGAGGACUGCUCCUGGCCGCCCGAAAACUUCAUAUCUACCAGCAAGCUAGCACAGCAAUAAAAGGCUUCCGUCAAGGGCAACUGGUGUUGCUCCGGAAUCUUCAUGCUCCGGAAGGGCCAUCCUGCGCAACGCACCGCGCCACGGUGUUUUCCGUAAGAAAACGGGAUAGGUACCAGGAAACUGGUUCCGGUAGGGGAGACUGCGACGUCGACAGGAAACACCGCGUUAACAACAGGCAGCAACGGCAACGCGUAGCACUCGUUGAACGGUUUAGUGAUGGUCGCAUUGGGCAUGACGACAGAAAAGUGCACGUUUCGUGUAAAUGUGCUGUUGCCGAGGCAAAGUCGAACAAAUUCGUGGGAAUAACCCUUGGCCCGGAUUGUUGGUAAUGAUAUGAAACAGACCGCCUGGAAUUGCGGCGGUCCAUCAAUCAGAUUGAAUUUAAAAGGGCGAAUCGGAGAGACCGAACUGUGGCACGUCUGGGAUGGUUAAAAAGGUCCCAUAUGGGCCAGUUAUGCGGGUCCCAUGUUGGCUGAUUAUAUAGGUCCCUGCUGGACAUACACAUGUGGGCCCCGGCUAAACAUGCCCACGUGGGUCCCAACUGAGCAGCCCAGGUGGGUCCCAUGUGGGUCACAGUUACGCCCCACGUGGGCCCCAGGUGGGCUGCUCGCGUGGGACUCAGAUGGUUGCCCAUGACCAUGACAUGCCAUAUGGGACCGAAGUGGGCAGCCCCGAUGGGCCCCAUAAGGCUUUCAGUAUCAGACCCACAUGGGUCUCAGUUGGACGUGCUGGUCUGGCGGAAGGCAUUCAAUGGCAAGUCCUUACACCGUAAUAACUGGCAAUCAUGUCCAGGUUCUUAUAUUAUGCAGCACAAAACGUGAUUACCGAUUAAAACUUGCUCAACUUGUUCACCACUUUUAAUCUGUGAGUGCUGCAACACGCUGUUCUCUCAUUCAUGUACUAUUGUGGCACAGACCAGACCGAAGGAAUAUAUGAUGAUGGUGAUGAGAGAAAGGAAGAGGAGAAGGAGGGGGAGAUAGAGGACAAUGAACGGGAUGAGAAGAGGAAGAGGAGGAGGAGAAAAAGGAGGAGGAGAAUGAGGAGAAGGGGGAGGAUGAGGAGGAGGAGGACGACGACGACGAUGCUGAGUGGGAGGAGGAAGAGAAGGAAGAGGAAGAGGCGUCCAUAUCUAUGCUAAACUAAUAAGUUUUCAACCUUGCACGCAUUCAUUUGAAGGUGGAAGACAACUUUUUUCAUUUACUGCACCUCGCACUUUUCAAAAAAAGUGUAGGAUGCGCCACUGUACUCUUGAUUAGGGAGCUAUGAGAUACCAAUUUAAAUUCUUUAUCAUGACGUCAGGACCACGUAGAGAGCGGAGUGGUCCACCUCAGAUUAUAAAGCCUUGGACGCAACGGCUUUGACGACGCGCGCUGUUGACGCGGGGGGCGGGACUGCAUCGCGGGCGUGUUGUGGCGCUUGUGGCGGAGCAUCAGUUUUCGAAUUUGGUGCAAUUUUUGGUACUUACAGGACCAGUGACCCCAGGUGAUGAUGUCCCAGUCAUUCAAGAAAAAGCACAGGUACGGCAAUCGGCCAUUUUCUUCCACACCGCCUUCACUUGGCCACAUUCCUCGCAGUUCACCCCCCUAAUGUACCAGCAAGCCCCCCUUUUGAGAUCACCUAGCCCGCAAUGGCACCAUCACGCCGUCGUCACCCGCGAACGUGACUGUAUCCGCGAAGACGGUGUUCGUGGGAGCCGACUGUAUCUUCCAAGACGCGUUUUCUCGGGAGCCGCCUGUAUCGCUCAAGACGGGUGGGCGCGUGAGCAUCUGCAACGGCCGGCGACGUCGGAACGGCGACCUCAGCGCCGCCAGUGUUUGCC
This 2068-nucleotide long non-coding RNA is filed under the name Pollicipes pollicipes. Its description in RNAcentral is "uncharacterized LOC119095436". Lineage: Eukaryota; Metazoa; Arthropoda; Thecostraca; Pollicipedomorpha; Pollicipedidae. The record is from RNAcentral.